UCUCAGAACGUUUCCAUGAUUUUACUGAUCUCCUCCUUUGGCAUAAAUCUUCAGGGCAAACAGCUAUACAACUGACCUGAGCAUUUAAUUCUACAAUAUCAGGGAGAACACUGGUGUGAUACAAUCAUUCCUACUAAGCAAUCAGAAACCAAUGGGCUAUCUUACAGGACACCCUGGCUAGACAUCUAAGGCUGUCUUCUAUGCCAUCGGCUUCCUUCCAUUUGGGAUCCCAUGUCUCUAGUGAUUCCAGUAUAAAUUACCUGUGUAAAAUGGGGAAAGUUUAUUAAGUUGGAAAGCCUGCCUGAUGGCAGUGAUUCUUGGCUGCGUAUUAGCUUUUAAAAUUCCUGAUACCUUGACCAAUUAAAAAACCAG
Long non-coding RNA from Eptesicus fuscus (big brown bat), 372 nucleotides. RefSeq lists it as uncharacterized. The record is from RefSeq and is a predicted model, not a curated record. NCBI's taxonomy places the organism in Eukaryota, Metazoa, Chordata, Mammalia, Chiroptera, Vespertilionidae. The transcript has 3 exons.